AUAUUUGGCACCGGGGGCAUGUGAGUACCUGGCACCGUGGGGGAAUAUCUGGCACUGGGGACAUAUGUGGCACUGGGAGCACCGCCCUAGCAACAAGGACUACCUCCUAGCAACGAGCAUGACACCCAGUGCAUGAAACACCUGACAACGAGCAUGACACCCAGUGCAUGAAACACCUGGCAACGAGCAUGACACCCAGUGCAUGAAACCCCUGACAACGAGAAGAACAUAGAUAUUGCCAUUUGUUGCUGUGAGAAGCAGCUGCCGAUGUUACAAGAGUAAGACUAGAAGUGUUACACCUGUGCAACUCUCAUAAUGUCGCCUACAAAAUCACAUUACAGGAAAUUCUGCUGUAUGCUAGAAGAUUCUUUAAGACGCUUGGCACGUCAUCGUAUGAGCAAACUUUUAUUCAUGCAAGUUUUUCUUUUCAUUAAAAUAUGUUAUGUUUUGUGGAUUCACUUGUACCCAUCAUACAUAUUCUGUUAACAUUGUUUUUUAUUGUUUUUUACAAAAUAAAAUACUAGUUUUAAAAUUUAAAAAAA
Molecule: long non-coding RNA, 542 nt
Organism: Pseudophryne corroboree (corroboree frog)
Lineage: Eukaryota; Metazoa; Chordata; Amphibia; Anura; Myobatrachidae
Exons: 2
Source: RefSeq, a predicted model, not a curated record